UUUAUUUAGGUAGAAGCUCGACCCUGACGCUAAUGGAAAGUCCAGAUGACAACCGUAAGACGAAGACUUUUCCUUGUAAGGGCGUAGACCUCGCUGAGAGCGAUAGUUCGUGAUGAACCAACCAAACCCUAAUAUUGUAUAGUAUGAUUUGUUCCUUUUGGAGUUCAUGAUUUUGUAUAGAUUUAUAAAUAGAAAGGUUUAAGAGAGUAGAAAUUUUAAAUUUUUAGUUGUAAAUGCACGCUUUCAUUUAUAAUGUUUGUUUUUAGCA
This is a long non-coding RNA of Alnus glutinosa, 268 nucleotides long. RefSeq lists it as uncharacterized. Lineage: Eukaryota; Viridiplantae; Streptophyta; Magnoliopsida; Fagales; Betulaceae. The transcript has 2 exons. The record is from RefSeq and is a predicted model, not a curated record.